UAUAUUAGAGCCUGUUGAUCAAUAAAAGUCUUUUUUUUAAAUAAAAAAUAAAAAAAAAUCCUGAGCGGGGCCUUUUUUGUGGGCGGGCGGGGACGCUAACCAACUAUUUUUUUUUAUGUGGCCUUUAAAGUUGGGAUUAGUCCCUAAAUUCGGAUUAGUCUCUAAACUGUUCCUUCCACCGUAGCUGUGCUCCGGAUUCAGACAUCAUUCAUAAUUUCUGAGGAAGCCUUCGUC
This is a non-coding RNA of Paramuricea clavata, 234 nucleotides long. The record is from the annotation of a GenBank genome assembly. NCBI's taxonomy places the organism in Eukaryota, Metazoa, Cnidaria, Anthozoa, Malacalcyonacea, Plexauridae.